UACGAGGGUGGCGAGCGUUACUCGGAAUUACUAGGCGUAAAGCGUAUGUAGGUGGUUAGAUAGGUCUAUGGUGAAAUUUCCUGGCUCAACUGGGAAGGGAACAUAGAUACUGUCUGGCUUGAGUGUGUGAGGGGGAGACGGAAUUCCUGGUGUAGCGGUGAAAUGCGUAGAUAUCAGGAGGAACACCGAUGGCGAAAGCAGUCUCCUGGCACAAAACUGACACUGAGGUACGAAAGCUAGGGUAGCAAAC
This 250-nucleotide ribosomal RNA is filed under the name uncultured prokaryote. RNAcentral's name for it is "partial 16S ribosomal RNA". It matches the Rfam family "Bacterial small subunit ribosomal RNA", at positions 524 to 773 of the family's 1533-position model. The record is from RNAcentral.